This 332-nucleotide ribosomal RNA is filed under the name uncultured eukaryote. RNAcentral describes it as "partial 18S ribosomal RNA". It matches the Rfam family "Eukaryotic small subunit ribosomal RNA", at positions 1470 to 1796 of the family's 1831-position model. The record is from RNAcentral.
CCCUUAGAUGUUCUGGGCUGCACACGUGCUACACUGGCAGGUUCAGCGAGCUUCAUGCCCUGAUCUGAAAGGAAUGGGAAAUCUUUUCAAAACCUGCCGUGCUUGGGAUAGAUGUUUGCAAUUAUUCAUCUUCAACGAGGAUUGCCUUGUAAGCGCACGUCAUCAGCGUGCAUUGAAUACGACACUGUAUUCUGUACACACCGCCCGUCGCUCCUACCGAUUGAAGUUUUCGGUGAGUUGACAGGAGGAUUUUUUUGAAACUGGUUCGCCAGUGGAUUUUAGAUCCAAAUGCCAACGAAUCGAUGGCUUUAGAGGAAGGAGAAGUCGUAACA